AACGAACGCUGGCGGCAUGCCUAACACAUGCAAGUCGAACGAACCCUUCGGGGUGAGUGGCGCACGGGUGCGUAACACGUGGGAACCUGCCCUUAGGUUCGGAAUAACAGUUAGAAAUGACUGCUAAUACCGGAUAAUGUUUUCGGACCAAAGAUUUAUCGCCUUUGGAUGGGCCCGCGGAGGAUUAGCUAGUUGGUGAGGUAAAGGCGAACCAAGGCGACGAUCCUUAGCUGGUCUUAGAGGAUGAUCAGCCACACUGGGACUGAGACACGGCCCAGACUCCUACGGGAGGCAGCAGUGGGGAAUAUUGGACAAUGGGCGAAAGCCUGAUCCAGCAAUGCCGCGUGAGUGAUGAAGGCCUUAGGGUUGUAAAGCUCUUUUACCUGGGAUGAUAAUGACAGUACCAGGAGAAUAAGCCCCGGCUAACUCCGUGCCAGCCGCCGCGGUAA
This 449-nucleotide ribosomal RNA is filed under the name uncultured bacterium. RNAcentral describes it as "partial 16S ribosomal RNA". It matches the Rfam family "Bacterial small subunit ribosomal RNA", at positions 29 to 523 of the family's 1533-position model. The record is from RNAcentral.